AAUAGAUACCCGGGUAGUCCACGCCGUAAACGGUGGGCACUAGGUGUGGGCGACAUUCCACGUCGUCCAUGCCGCAGCUAACGCAUUAAGUGCCCCGCCCUGGGGAGUACGGCCGCAAGGCUAAAACUCAAAGGAAUUGACGGGGGGCCCGCACAAGCGGCGGAGCAUGUGGCUUAAUUCGACGCAACGCGAAGAACCUUACCAAGGCUUGACAUACACCGGAAACGUCCAGAGAUGGGCGCCCCCUUGUGGUCGGUGUACAGGUGGUGCAUGGCUGUCGUCAGCUCGUGUCGUGAGAUGUUGGGUUAAGUCCCGCAACGAGCGCAACCCUUGUCCCGUGUUGCCAGCAGGCCCUUGUGGUGCUGGGGACUCACGGGAGACCGCCGGGGUCGAACUCGGAGGAAGGUGGGGACGACGUCAAGUCAUCAUGCCCCUUAUGUCUUGGGCUGCACACGUGCUACAAUGGCCGGUACAAUGAGCUGCGAUACCGCGAGGUGGAGCGAAUCUCAAAAAGCCGGUCUCAGUUCGGAUUGGGGU
Molecule: ribosomal RNA, 537 nt
Filed under: uncultured bacterium
Lineage: Bacteria
Description: bacterial SSU rRNA
Rfam family: Bacterial small subunit ribosomal RNA
Source: RNAcentral